UACAGAGGUCUCAAGCGUUGUUCGGAUUCAUUGGGCGUAAAGGGUGCGUAGGCGGCGCGGUAAGUCGGGUGUGAAAUCUCGGGGCUUAACUCCGAAACUGCAUUCGAUACUGCAGUGCUUGAGGACUGGAGAGGAGACUGGAAUUCAUGGUGUAGCAGUGAAAUGCGUAGAGAUCAUGAGGAAGACCAGUGGCGAAGGCGGGUCUCUGGACAGUUCCUGACACUGAGACACGAAGGCCAGGGGAGCAAACAGG
Molecule: ribosomal RNA, 253 nt
Filed under: uncultured bacterium
Lineage: Bacteria
Description: partial 16S ribosomal RNA
Rfam family: Bacterial small subunit ribosomal RNA
Source: RNAcentral